RNAcentral lists this ribosomal RNA (1413 nucleotides) under Micrococcus sp. NS 211. RNAcentral's name for it is "16S ribosomal RNA". It matches the Rfam family "Bacterial small subunit ribosomal RNA". Lineage: Bacteria; Bacillati; Actinomycetota; Actinomycetes; Micrococcales; Micrococcaceae. The record is from RNAcentral.
UGGCUCAGGAUGAACGCUGGCGGCGUGCUUAACACAUGCAAGUCGAACGAUGAUGCCUAGCUUGCUAGGUGGGAUUAGUGGCGAACGCGUGAGUAACACGUGAGUAACCUGCCCUUGACUCUGGGAUAAGCCUGAGAAAUUGGGUCUAAUACUGGAUAUGAACAUUUACCGCAUGGUGGGUGUUGGAAAGUGGGGAUGGACUCGCGGCCUAUCAGCUUGUUGGUGAGGUAGUGGCUCACCAAGGCGACGACGGUUAGCCGGCCUGAGAGGGUGACCGGCCACACUGGGACUGAGACACGGCCCAGACUCCUACGGGAGGCAGCAGUGGGGAAUAUUGCACAAUGGGCGAAAGCCUGAUGCAGCGACGCCGCGUGAGGGAUGACGGCCUUCGGGUUGUAAAGCGAAAGUGACGGUACUUGCCCGGCUAACUACGUGCCAGCAGCCGCGGUAAUACGUAGGGCGCGAGCGUUAUCCGGAAUUAUUGGGCGUAAAGAGCUCGUAGGCGGGUCGCGUCUGCCGUGAAAGUCCGGGGCUUAACUCCGGAUCUGCGGUGGGUACGGGCAGGCUAGAGUGCAGUAGGGGAGACUGGAAUUCCUGGUGUAGCGGUGAAAUGCGCAGAUAUCAGGAGGAACACCGAUGGCGAAGGCAGGUCUCUGGGCUGUAACUGACGCUGAGGAGCGAAAGCAUGGGUAGCGAACAGGAUUAGAUACCCUGGUAGUCCAUGCCGGCACUAGGUGUGGGGGACAUUCCACGCCGCGCCGUAGCUAACGCAUUAAGUGCCCCGCCUGGGGAGUACGGCCGCAAGGCUAAAACUCAAAGGAAUUGACGGGGGCGGCGGAGCAUGCGGAUUAAUUCGAUGCAACGCGAAGAACCUUACCAAGGCUUGACAUGGACUAGAUCGCCGCAGAGAUGCGGUUUCCCUACGGGGCUGGUUCACAGGUGGUGCAUGGUUGUCGUCAGCUCGUGUCGUGAGAUGUUGGGUUAAGUCCCGCAACGAGCGCAACCCUCGUUCUAUGUUGCCAGCACGUUAUGGUGGGGACUCAUAGGAGACUGCCGGGGUCAACUCGGAGGAAGGUGGGGACGACGUCAAAUCAUCAUGCCCCUUAUGUCUUGGGCUUCACGCGGCCGGUACAAAGGGUUGCGAUACUGUGAGUCCCAAAAAGCCGGUCUCAGUUCGGAUUGGGGUCUGCAACUCGACCCCAUGAAGUCGGAGUCGCUAGUAAUCGCAGAUCAGCAACGCUGCGGUGAAUACGUUCCCGGGCCUUGUACACACCGCCCGUCAAGUCACGAAAGUUGGUAACACCCGAAGCCGGUGGCCUAACCCCUUGUGGGAGGGAGCUGUCGAAGGUGGGACUGGCGAUUGGGACUAAGUCGUAACAAGGUAGCCGUACCGGAAGGUGCGGCUGGAUCACC